GAGUUUGAUCAUGGCUCAGAAUGAACGCUGGCGGCAGGCCUAACACAUGCAAGUCGAACGGAGUUAUAUUGUAGCUUGCUAUGGUAUAACUUAGUGGCAGACGGGUGAGUAAUGUAUAGGAAUCUACCUAGUAGUACGGAAUAAUUGUUGGAAACGGCAACUAAUACCGUAUACGCCCUACGGGGGAAAAAUUUAUUGCUAUUAGAUGAGCCUAUAUUAGAUUAGUUAGUUGGUGAGGUAAAGGCUUACCAAGACAAUGAUCUAUAGCUGAUCUGAGAGGAUGAUCAGCCACACUGGAACUGAGAUACGGUCCAGACUCCUACGG
Molecule: ribosomal RNA, 325 nt
Filed under: uncultured Hyphomicrobiales bacterium
Lineage: Bacteria; Pseudomonadati; Pseudomonadota; Alphaproteobacteria; Hyphomicrobiales
Description: bacterial SSU rRNA
Rfam family: Bacterial small subunit ribosomal RNA
Source: RNAcentral